This is a non-coding RNA of Acanthosepion pharaonis, 98 nucleotides long. NCBI's taxonomy places the organism in Eukaryota, Metazoa, Mollusca, Cephalopoda, Sepiida, Sepiidae. The record is from the annotation of a GenBank genome assembly.
UGUUGAAACACCCUUUCUCGUACGAUCACCGAAGUUAAGCAAUGUCGAGCCUGGUCAGUACCUAGAUGGGUGACCGCUUGGGAAUACCUUUUACUGUA